RNAcentral lists this ribosomal RNA (466 nucleotides) under uncultured bacterium. RNAcentral describes it as "partial 16S ribosomal RNA". It matches the Rfam family "Bacterial small subunit ribosomal RNA", at positions 28 to 523 of the family's 1533-position model. The record is from RNAcentral.
GAUGAACGCUGGCGGCGUGCCUAUCACAUGCAAGUCGAGCGAACCCUUCGGGGUGAGCGGCGGACGGGUGAGUAACGCGUGGGUAACCUGCCCUAUACACACGGAUAACGUACCGAAAGGUACGCUAAUACGGGAUAAAGCUGUUGGAUGGCAUCUUCUAACAAUCAAAGCUCCGGCGGUAUAGGAUGGACCCGCGUCUGAUUAGCUAGUUGGUGAGGUAAUGGCUCACCAAGGCGACGAUCAGUAGCCGACCUGAGAGGGUGAUCGGCCACACUGGAACUGAGACACGGUCCAGACUCCUACGGGAGGCAGCAGUGGGGAAUAUUGCACAAUGGGCGAAAGCCUGAUGCAGCAACGCCGCGUGAGCGAUGAAGGUCUUCGGAUCGUAAAGCUCUGUCCUCAAGGAAGAUAAUGACGGUACUUGAGGAGGAAGCCCCGGCUAACUACGUGCCAGCAGCAGCCGCAG